GUGGGGAAUUUUAGACAAUGGGCGCAAGCCUGAUCCAGCAAUGCCGCGUGCAGGAAGAAGGCCUUCGGGUUGUAAACUGCUUUUGUACGGAACGAAACGGUCCUGGUUAAUACCUGGGGCUAAUGACGGUACCGUAAGAAUAAGCACCGGCUAACUACGUGCCAGCAGCCGCGGUAAUACGUAGGGUGCAAGCGUUAAUCGGAAUUACUGGGCGUAAAGCGUGCGCAGGCGGUUUUGUAAGACAGGCGUGAAAUCCCCGGGCUCAACCUGGGAAUUGCGCUUGUGACUGCAAGGCUGGAGUGCGGCAGAGGGGGAUGGAAUUCCGCGUGUAGCAGUGAAAUGCGUAGAUAUGCGGAGGAACACCGAUGGCGAAGGCAAUCCCCUGGGCCUGCACUGACGCUCAUGCACGAAAGCGUGGGGAGCAAACAGGAUUAGAUACCCCUGUAGUCC
This 450-nucleotide ribosomal RNA is filed under the name uncultured bacterium. Its description in RNAcentral is "partial 16S ribosomal RNA". It matches the Rfam family "Bacterial small subunit ribosomal RNA", at positions 354 to 796 of the family's 1533-position model. The record is from RNAcentral.